Molecule: transfer RNA, 70 nt
Filed under: Nesophrosyne ponapona
Lineage: Eukaryota; Metazoa; Arthropoda; Insecta; Hemiptera; Cicadellidae
Description: tRNA-Cys
Source: RNAcentral
AGUCUUAUAUUUUAAUAAAAAUCUUAAAUUGCAAAUUUAAAGAUGAUAAAUAUCAAUUUUUCUAAGACUU